RNAcentral lists this ribosomal RNA (380 nucleotides) under uncultured Cylindrospermum sp. RNAcentral's name for it is "bacterial SSU rRNA". It matches the Rfam family "Bacterial small subunit ribosomal RNA", at positions 376 to 770 of the family's 1533-position model. Lineage: Bacteria; Bacillati; Cyanobacteriota; Cyanophyceae; Nostocales; Nostocaceae. The record is from RNAcentral.
CGAAAGCCUGACGGAGCAAUACCGCGUGAGGGAGGAAGGCUCUUGGGUUGUAAACCUCUUUUCUCAGGGAAUAAUUCAAUGAAGGUACCUGAGGAAUAAGCAUCGGCUAACUCCGUGCCAGCAGCCGCGGUAAUACGGAGGAUGCAAGCGUUAUCCGGAAUGAUUGGGCGUAAAGCGUCCGCAGGUGGCCCUGUAAGUCUGCUGUCAAAGCGCAAGGCUUAACCUUGUAAAGGCAGUGGAAACUACAGAGCUAGAGUGCGUUCGGGGCAGAAGGAAUUCCUGGUGUAGCGGUGAAAUGCGUAGAGAUCAGGAAGAACACCGGUGGCGAAAGCGUUCUGCUAGACCUGUACUGACACUGAGGGACGAAAGCUAGGGGAGCG